RNAcentral lists this ribosomal RNA (468 nucleotides) under uncultured bacterium. RNAcentral describes it as "partial 16S ribosomal RNA". It matches the Rfam family "Bacterial small subunit ribosomal RNA", at positions 28 to 507 of the family's 1533-position model. The record is from RNAcentral.
GACGAACGCUGGCGGCGUGCUUAACACAUGCAAGUCGAACGGAAAGGCCCUGCUUUUGUGGGGUGCUCGAGUGGCGAACGGGUGAGUAACACGUGAUUAACCUGCCCUUGACUUUGGGAUAACUUCAGGAAACUGGGGCUAAUACCGGAUAGGAGCUCCUGCUGCAUGGUGGGGGUUGGAAAGUUUCGGCGGUUGGGGAUGGACUCGCGGCUUAUCAGCUUGCUGGUGGGGGAGUGGCUUACCAAGGCUUUGACGGGUAGCCGGCCUGAGAGGGUGACCGGCCACAUGGGGACUGAGAUACGGCCCAGACUCCUACGGGAGGCAGCAGUGGGGAAUAUUGCACAAGGGGCGGAAGCCUGAUGCAGCAACGCCGCGUGCGGGAUGACGGCCUUCGGGUUGUAAACCGCUUUCGCCUGUGACGAAGCGUGAGUGACGGUAAUGGGUAAAGAAGCACCGGCUAACUACGUG